RNAcentral lists this ribosomal RNA (468 nucleotides) under uncultured bacterium. Its description in RNAcentral is "partial 16S ribosomal RNA". It matches the Rfam family "Bacterial small subunit ribosomal RNA", at positions 28 to 507 of the family's 1533-position model. The record is from RNAcentral.
GACGAACGCUGGCGGCGUGCUUAACACAUGCAAGUCGAACGGAAAGGCCCUGCUUUUGUGGGGUGCUCGAGUGGCGAACGGGUGAGUAACACGUGAGUAACCUGCCCUUGACUUUGGGAUAACUUCAGGAAACUGGGGCUAAUACCGGAUAGGAGCUCCUGCUGCAUGGUGGGGGUUGGAAAGUUUCGGCGGUUGGGGGUGGACUCGCGGCUUAUCAGCUUGUUGGUGGGGUAGUGGCUUACCAAGGCUUUGACGGGUAGCCGGCCUGAGAGGGUGACCGGCCACAUUGGGACUGAGGUACGGCCCAGACUCCUACGGGAGGCAGCAGUGGGGAAUAUUGCACAGUGGGCGGAAGCCUGAUGCAGCAACGCCGCGUGCGGGAUGACGGCCUUCGGGUUGUAAACCGCUUUCGCCUGUGGCGAAGCGUGAGUGACGGUAAUGGGUAAAGAAGCACCGGCUAACUACGUG